RNAcentral lists this ribosomal RNA (255 nucleotides) under uncultured bacterium. RNAcentral's name for it is "partial 16S ribosomal RNA". It matches the Rfam family "Bacterial small subunit ribosomal RNA", at positions 524 to 776 of the family's 1533-position model. The record is from RNAcentral.
UACGUAGGGUGCAAGCGUUUGUCCGGAAUUAUUGGGCGUAAAGAGCUCGUAGGCGGUUUGUCGCGUCUGCUGUGAAAACCCGAGGCUCAACCUCGGCCUGCAGUGGGUACGGGCAGACUAGAGUGCGGUAGGGGGAGAUUGGAAUUCCUGGUGUAGCGGUGGAAUGCGCAGAUAUCAGGAGGAACACCAAUGGCGAAGGCAGAUCUCUGGGCCGUAACUGACGCUGAGGAGCGAAAGCAUGGGGGAGCGAACAGG